This 72-nucleotide transfer RNA is filed under the name Caerostris darwini. Its description in RNAcentral is "tRNA-His". It matches the Rfam family "tRNA". From Rfam's summary of the family: Transfer RNA (tRNA) molecules are approximately 80 nucleotides in length. Their secondary structure includes four short double-helical elements and three loops (D, anti-codon, and T loops). Further hydrogen bonds mediate the characteristic L-shaped molecular structure. tRNAs have two regions of fundamental functional importance: the anti-codon, which is responsible for specific mRNA codon recognition, and the 3' end, to which the tRNAs corresponding amino acid is attached (by aminoacyl-tRNA synthetases). tRNAs cope with the degeneracy of the genetic code in two manners: having more than one tRNA (with a specific anti-codon) for a particular amino acid; and 'wobble' base-pairing, i.e. permitting non-standard base-pairing at the 3rd anti-codon position. The record is from RNAcentral. Lineage: Eukaryota; Metazoa; Arthropoda; Arachnida; Araneae; Araneidae.
GGGACAGUGGCACAACGGAUAACGCGCCUGACUAUGGAUCAGGAUAUCCCUGUUCAAAUCCUGGCUGCCUCG